Molecule: ribosomal RNA, 230 nt
Filed under: uncultured prokaryote
Description: partial 16S ribosomal RNA
Source: RNAcentral
AACGGUCACAUUACAUUUAACCUGACUAUUCCACUGCAACAACUGAACGGACUGGAAACACUGGUCAUAAUCAUGGUGGCGAAUAAGUACGCGUUCUUGCAAAUCACCAGAAGGCGGUUCCUGAAUGAAUGGGAAGCCUUCAAGAAGGUGAUAAGCAGGAGAAACAUACGAAGGCGCAUAACGAUACCACUGACCCUCAGCAAUCUUAAACUUCUUAGACGAAUCACCAG